ACAAAUAUUGCUUACUCACGUGUUAACUGUACAUUAAUUUCAUUUGCUUCUUCAGUUUUUAAUUUACCAAAACACAACAAUAAAAAAGUUUUACACAUGUGACCGUCCACAAGAAAGAGGAGCUUGGUCUUAAGGGGCAAAGUUUUCAGUAGUGGGUUUGGUAGGAUUGAGUAUCAAAUCAGACUUGGAUUUUAUCAGAGGCAAGUAUCCUAAUGAGUUGCAAACAGUUUUCUUUAUUUUGACCUUGGUAGAAGCCCUAAACAGCGAUAUUGAAAACUGAUCCUGCAAUGCCUGCCUGCUUGUAAAUGUCUGUGAGCUGAUUACUGGCCAGAAUAUGGUUGCCUAGGAGAGCUGCGAUGACACAUAGUUUAUCAGCAGUGAUAUUCAAUUCUUUCAACAGCUCAGGAAUAAUGUAUUCCUUUGUUUCUAAGGAACCCUGAAGCAUAAAAUGACAGAACCUCAUGCUUACCUUGUAGGUUAACUUCAGUUGCUUGGCAGAGAAGUAACGAUUGUAAUUGAAGGCAGUAUAUUCACCAUCAUCAGCAAUUAGACCUUGUACAUUGUUUUCAUGACAGUAGGCAAUAACUUCUUGUUUAUGGUCUUCCAACGUACAAAUGACAUUCACUUUGAUUUGAUGCAUGACAAUGAUGCGAAGGGCAGACUGCAGACCAAUCGGUGGCUGCCACCACACUUUGGGAGGAGGAGUUCCUUUGGAUUGAACAUGCUUCAGUACCUGAAAUGGAAUGUCACUUGCAUCAAGUUAAACAUUUAAUCAAUGAUCAAUGAGUGAAUGACCUGAUGACACAUGAAAUUCCAUUCUGAUCAGACAGUGUUACAUUGAGGUGUUGAAAUUCACUUACUGAGUCAAUGUUUUGCCGUGACUGGAGCUGUUGAUUGACCCAGUCGCGAAUGCGAUGGGAUUCUACGCAUCCAUUGAGGAAGAAAGUUUGGUGGUUUGAACGUGACGCCUGGCAAGCCUGACCAAAUCAACAGAGACAUUAGAUCCCUCGACAGAGCCGCUUUCAAGAAAAUGUUGCAAGUGUUUAGUGCUCAUGAUGACCAAAUUGAAUUUCACGCCAGUUUAGAUGAAACUCUCCCAGAGACAAAUUAUUGAUUUGCCGAAAAUUACGAGAGCAUAACACAACCUAGAAAAGAAUCAAGUGAAAAACAUUGUUCAGAUAAUAAUGGUGGUAAAUAAAUGCAGAUAAUUUCACUAAAAAAUAUCUAGCAGACUUUUAUUUCCCUUUGAUCUUCUUUUCGAUCAUGGCUUUUUAUAUUCCUGUUCUGGUUGUCCUAUUAGGUACCCAUAGUUAUCAAUUUAUUAAUCUUGUUUCAUUGUUGUGUUUAUUCGAAUUGAAUCACAACAUUUUAUCAUCACUUGAUUCUACUUGCAUUGUAACAAAUUUAAUUUAUGACCUGUUUCAAAAAAUUAGUUGCUUCUUUUGCUUAAAUGUGUUCAGGUGUCAUCUACCUCCUACGAGUUCUUCAAGUGACUUUUCUGCUUUGAUUGAAACUAACACAGCGUUGUCAAAUAUGUUCUUGAUAUUAUUAUGAGUAAUUAUUGUUCAUAUAUUGAAUGCAUGCUCCUGAUUUGAUUCGCAGUUGAACGAAGUAAUUGCACGUAAAUGCAAUUGAUUGAGAGAUAUAAGUCUACUCAACAUUGAUCUAUAGACAGGAGAGAUGCUGUCACAGAAAAAGCAGCCUCCAGCUCAGAAGUUACAAUCGGGCCUACACAAGAAGACCUGCAGACAUCGUAAUAAGCCGUCAUAAUACUUAGUUACACAUAAAGUUGCAUAAUCCAAUUGACUCAGGAAAUAUUAUCAGCUAUUCUGAACGAUACAAAAUCCCUCUAUGGAAUAAAAGACUGGCUGGAAUGAUUGGUCUUAUUCCAAAUGAAAAAGGGGGGAUUGUAUAAUUUUAUAACAAUUGAUAAUAGAAUGCAAAUGCCAGAGGAAUGGGUAUCGAGAAUGUUCAAAUGAAUCGUUACUGAUUUGCGGACAAUGAAAAAUUCUUCCGUAAUCUGAGGCGUACAUCCAUUCUGCAUUCAUGGAACUUCUAGCCAUGUCAUAACUUAGGUACUAAAAAAUAAUUCGAUGGAGGAGCCGGUUGGAUGAGCCAAAGGCACUGUCUUCCUAAACAGAGUCGGUAGGAUACAUGAAGCGUUAGAAUACAGUAGACAGCGUAGACAAUCAGCCACCUUGACCUAUGACAAGGACAGUAUUCCUGAAGAAUUGGAGAAGGAGCAGAAAUCACAAUCCAGGGGAGAAAUAUUUGCGAGAGCUUAAGAGCUCACGGGGUAAGAGACAUGAUGAUCAGGGGAAGUCCUUCCUCCCAGACAUUUCUCCAUCUUCAUUUAAUUGCAGUUCUUAACCCCAAAA
Molecule: non-coding RNA, 2378 nt
Organism: Bemisia tabaci
Lineage: Eukaryota; Metazoa; Arthropoda; Insecta; Hemiptera; Aleyrodidae
Source: RefSeq, a predicted model, not a curated record